UCCUACGGGGGGCAGCAGUAGGGAAUCUUCCACAAUGGACGAAAGUCUGAUGGAGCAACGCCGCGUGAGUGAAGAAGGGUUUCGGCUCGUAAAGCUCUGUUGGUAGUGAAGAAAGAUAGAGGUAGUAACUGGCCUUUAUUUGACGGUAAUUACUUAGAAAGUCACGGCUAACUACGUGCCAGCAGCCGCGGUAAUACGUAGGUGGCAAGCGUUGUCCGGAUUUAUUGGGCGUAAAGCGAGUGUAGGCGGGUCAAUAA
Molecule: ribosomal RNA, 257 nt
Filed under: uncultured bacterium
Lineage: Bacteria
Description: partial 16S ribosomal RNA
Rfam family: Bacterial small subunit ribosomal RNA
Source: RNAcentral